This 483-nucleotide ribosomal RNA is filed under the name uncultured bacterium. RNAcentral describes it as "partial 16S ribosomal RNA". It matches the Rfam family "Bacterial small subunit ribosomal RNA", at positions 28 to 506 of the family's 1533-position model. The record is from RNAcentral.
GAUGAACGCUGGCGGCGUGCCUAAUACAUGCAAGUCGAACGCUGGAAAUCUAGCUUGCUAGAUUGAAGGAGUGGCGAACGGGUGAGUAAUACAUAAGCAACCUACCCACGAAGACUGGGAUAAUCUCUGGAAACGGGGACUAAUACCGGAUAGGUAAUCGGAAGGCAUCUUCUGAUUAUUAAAGGUUAAAAACACUGGUGGAUGGGCUUAUGGCGCAUUAGUUAGUUGGUGAGGUAACGGCCCACCAAGACGAUGAUGCGUAGCCGGCCUGAGAGGGUGAAGCACCAUUGGGAGACAGACACGGCCCCGAGACCCCCGGGGGGGGGAGGAAGGGAAAUUGUGGGAAAGGGGGGGAACCCGAAAGCGCGACGCGGCGCGAGAGAUAUGAGGGUUGGGGUGUUAAAACGCUGUUGUAAAGGAAAAAAGGGAUAUAGAGAAAAUCUAAAAAAGGGGACCCUUCAAAAAAGCCCCGGGUAAAACCGU